Long non-coding RNA from Varanus komodoensis (Komodo dragon), 494 nucleotides. RefSeq lists it as uncharacterized. Lineage: Eukaryota; Metazoa; Chordata; Lepidosauria; Squamata; Varanidae. The transcript has 2 exons. The record is from RefSeq and is a predicted model, not a curated record.
AGAGAGCUCGAGGGGGCGGGGCUUUCAAGGCGGAUUGGAGUUGAGGUGAGGGCGUGGUGACGCCAGACGCAGCUUUGAACCGCUUCGUCAGGCAUCAGCCCUCCCGCCCAGCUCUGAGCCACCUGCAAACGGCCACGUGCCCCCACAUCAUUCAAAAAUCUUACUCACCUGAAUGGAUCCCAAAUUCUCAAUGAGCUGCUCUGCACUGGAGACGCCAAGGAGGACUGAGCUGACACCUUCCGAGCGGAGACACCACGCUUCGGGUGGGGAGCAGAAAGCGGAAGGUGGAUAGAGGAGAAGGGAGAUGGGAGAAUCGUGUUGGCCAGAAGAAAAAUCCCAACCUCUGUAUAGCAUAAUGGCUUCUUUACAUGAGCGCCUGCAGAACUAGCUCCUACUUCCUUUUGAUAAGAAACCUGUUCCGAUGCAAACGGGUCAUGGCCAAAGCAUGGGGGAAACAAAGCGCUUUGGGCAAUUAAAAACCUUUCCCAGACACA